RNAcentral lists this ribosomal RNA (716 nucleotides) under uncultured Colwellia sp. RNAcentral describes it as "bacterial SSU rRNA". It matches the Rfam family "Bacterial small subunit ribosomal RNA", at positions 56 to 763 of the family's 1533-position model. The record is from RNAcentral. Lineage: Bacteria; Pseudomonadati; Pseudomonadota; Gammaproteobacteria; Alteromonadales; Colwelliaceae.
UGCAAGUCGAGCGGUAACAUUUCUAGCUUGCUAGAAGAUGACGAGCGGCGGACGGGUGAGUAAUGCUUGGGAAUAUGCCUUAUGGUGGGGGACAACAGUUGGAAACGACUGCUAAUACCGCAUAACGUCUACGGACCAAAGGGGGGGAUCUUCGGACCUCUCGCUAUUUGAUUAGCCCAAGUGAGAUUAGCUAGUUGGUAAGGUAAUGGCUUACCAAGGCGACGAUCUCUAGCUGGUUUGAGAGGAUGACCAGCCACACUGGGACUGAGACACGGCCCAGACUCCUACGGGAGGCAGCAGUGGGGAAUAUUGCACAAUGGGCGAAAGCCUGAUGCAGCCAUGCCGCGUGUGUGAAGAAGGCCUUCGGGUUGUAAAGCACUUUCAGUUGUGAGGAAAGGGGAGUAGUUAAUAACUGCUUUCUGUGACGUUAACAACAGAAGAAGCACCGGCUAACUUCGUGCCAGCAGCCGCGGUAAUACGAGGGGUGCAAGCGUUAAUCGGAAUUACUGGGCGUAAAGCGUUCGUAGGCGGUCUAUUAAGCAAGAUGUGGAAGCCCAGGGCUCAACCUUGGAACUGCAUUUUGAACUGGUAGACUAGAGUACUGUAGAGGGUGGUGGAAUUUCCAGUGUAGCGGUGAAAUGCGUAGAGAUUGGAAGGAACAUCAGUGGCGAACGCGGCCACCUGGACAGAUGCUGACGCUGAGGAACGAAAGCGUG